RNAcentral lists this ribosomal RNA (479 nucleotides) under uncultured bacterium. RNAcentral's name for it is "partial 16S ribosomal RNA". It matches the Rfam family "Bacterial small subunit ribosomal RNA", at positions 28 to 507 of the family's 1533-position model. The record is from RNAcentral.
GAUGAACGCUAGCGGGAGGCCUAACACAUGCAAGCCGAGCGGUAUUUGUUCUUCGGAACAGAGAGAGCGGCGCACGGGUGCGGAACACGUGUGCAACCUGCCUUUAUCUGGGGGAUAGCCUUUCGAAAGGAAGAUUAAUACCCCAUAAUAUAUUGAGUGGCAUCAUUUGAUAUUGAAAACUCCGGUGGAUAGAGAUGGGCACGCGCAAGAUUAGAUAGUUGGUGAGGUAACGGCUCACCAAGUCAAUGAUCUUUAGGGGGCCUGAGCGGGUGAUCCCCCACACUGGUACUGAGACACGGACCAGACUCCUACGGGAGGCAGCAGUGAGGAAUAUUGGACAAUGGGUUAGCGCCUGAUCCAGCCAUCCCGCGUGAAGGACGCCGGCCCUAUGGGUUGUAAACUUCUUUUGUAUAGGGAUAAACCUACUCUCGUGAGAGUAGCUGAAGGUACUAUACGAAUAAGCACCGGCUAACUCCGUG